CAGCCAUGACAAAGAGACAGAUUCUUCGCUUGUAUAACAAGAGCAGGAGCUCCAUCACACCAGCAAUUUAUCACACCCUCGCCAUUCCUGGUACAGAACAUCACCCUCUAGCAUUCAGAUGAACAGGAACAUUCAACUGUGCUGUCCUUUACCUGGAGCCUCUCUACAAUAAAAGGCAAAGGGAAGCAGAGAAAGAAA
This is a long non-coding RNA of Elgaria multicarinata webbii, 198 nucleotides long. RefSeq lists it as uncharacterized. The record is from RefSeq and is a predicted model, not a curated record. The transcript has 2 exons. NCBI's taxonomy places the organism in Eukaryota, Metazoa, Chordata, Lepidosauria, Squamata, Anguidae.